Molecule: non-coding RNA, 87 nt
Organism: Podarcis lilfordi (Lilford's wall lizard)
Lineage: Eukaryota; Metazoa; Chordata; Lepidosauria; Squamata; Lacertidae
Source: the annotation of a GenBank genome assembly
GGCUCAUUCCUGACACUCAGUUGCUUAGAGCUUGGUGCUUAGAGCUUGAUAACGCCAAGGUUGCAGGUUCAAUCCCCGUAUGGGACA